UACGUAGGUGGCAAGCGUUGUCCGGAUUUACUGGGCGUAAAGAGCGCGCAGGCGGUCGAUCAAGUCGCGUGUGAAAGCCCCCGGCUCAACUGGGGAGGGUCACGCGAUACUGAUCGACUCGAAGGCAGGAGAGGGUAGUGGAAUUCCCGGUGUAGUGGUGAAAUGCGUUGAUAUCGGGAGGAACACCAGUGGCGAAGGCGGCUCACUGGACCACAACUGACGCUGAGGCGCGAAAGCUAGGGGAGCAAACAGG
RNAcentral lists this ribosomal RNA (253 nucleotides) under uncultured bacterium. RNAcentral describes it as "partial 16S ribosomal RNA". It matches the Rfam family "Bacterial small subunit ribosomal RNA", at positions 524 to 776 of the family's 1533-position model. The record is from RNAcentral.